UUAAUAGUGUCUCCGCCUCCACUCACGUGACAGUCCGCUGACGUCACACUGGGUUUCUCCUCAUCAGUUCCGGCUCAUCGUGAAUUCAUUAAUAUUCAUGUAACUCCCGACACCACACAUAUUUGUCCACGUGGGUAGCUAUUGAGUCAUUGUCGCUGGUCGCGGCAGGGGGCGACCGAGUUUAAUCCGCGAAUUCCCUCGCGAGUUCCUGCUCUGUUCUGACGUCAGCUGCCGGAAGAGCGAUCAUUUCUUGGAAGCGCAGUUUUUGCCGCUGAUGCUGUGCCCCUCCCCACCAUUCACCAAUACACCGGACACUCAUUUUGCCGGCCUCGGAAGGAUGACAGGCUGAGGUCAACCCCACCUGGUGUUCAUUCAGCAGUUAACGGGGCUCGAACUCAGGAACACAAAGAUCCAAAGCCAGCCACCCGAACCACGAAGCCAACAACAAGCUCCAAGCUCUCUUCUGUCACAACGUGCCCGUGAGCGAAUCUGCUGUCAGGAAUCGAAAUCACUUUUCCAGUUUCGAUUCCAAGGAACUCCUUGACUGCCUCAGACCCAAAGAAUCUUGUACGAGAGGAGCCGAUCGGACGUCGUACCCAUUACACCACUGUACGGCCACUACGGCGCACGAUGGCCCAAGAUCUCUCCCCCGGUGUUAUCAAGUUGAUGUAUGCUGUUUAUGGUCGCAGCAACAAUGCAGAAAAUACAUUCAUUCAGGAACUUCAGCAGAUUCUGAGGAAGAAUGACCUGCAUUGUGUUAAAAUAUCUGGAAACGCUGAAGAGAGGAAUAAUGCUGCCACAUCAUAUGCCUCGUCGAGACUUCCACUCCUCCUCUUCUGUGUCGCUUCAACUCGGGUUGGCACUGAUGCUAAAGCUGCUCUCGACAUGUACACAGGCACAGAUCAAAAUACUAUCCUGGUGAUUCUGAAUCACAAGCCAAAUACAAAGUACCAGGAAGAUCAACAUAGUGGAAGUAGCAUUCACGAUGUCAAUGUUUCCUUGGUGGUUGAUUGCUUCUUCUGGGAGAGUGAUGGCCUAUACCGUUGUGAGAACAACACCAGGGCUGUGAACCAAGUGGCAGAUUUUCUCUCUCCUUACCUUCCAAGGCAUGCACCGCUUCCACCUACUCGCACAAAUGUCAAAAAGUUGAUAUGCAAAAUAAUGUUGGCUGUUUUUGUCUUUUUGUUGCUUCUACUCAUUGUAAUACUCAUUGUUCACUUAACUUGAUAGGACAAUUGAAAAACCUUUCCAGGUUAGAAAAUAAACAUUUUUCCAUGCAACUAUUAUUCAGCUGAAGUAACAUUCUUCAGAUUUCUUGCUGCGAUAAUCGAAAACUACUUUGCCAAUUUACUCUUUAUCUUAUGCAUUCUUAAACCACUGGAUGAAAUAAGUUGAAAAGUGUGGUGCCAACACUUUCAACUUAUGUCAUCCAGUGGUGACUUUUCUGACCUGACAUCAUGCACACACGCGUAUCACCACGCCACGCAUAUCACCACUCCAUGGAAUUGAUCAAAUGUGCCAUAUGCUCGAGCAAUCAUCAACGUUCGUUUUCUGAGGUACUUCCUGGGAAAAGGUAAUGACUUGCGGUUUGCUAUUCCUUUGCCAGUAGUCAGUCAGAGCAAGAACUUGGAAUUUAACAAGUGUGCCUGAGAUAACUCGCCGACUCUUCAUGACUGCGAAACCAUGGGCUAAUUAAUGUUUUCCUGCAAACGCCGCUGUCAGAUGGCUCCUCUGGCUUAACGUCUUUCCAAUGGACGACACACAUAUUGAUGCCUUUCCCGACAUGCAAAAUACCAGGGUGAUGGUUUAUAGCUCGUUCAAGAUUCAAACCCAGGCAAGACGGCUCAAAGGAGAGUGCACAAACCUCUCGGCUAUCCUUCCAACCCACCACCCACCACCACUCAUUACCAACCUUUUCUGAAAACCUCUGCACUUACAACGAAGUCUUUAUUCACAUAUCUAGUACUCAUUACUUGUUUGUUUAACACAUAAUAUUCAUGAGAUUUUAUUAUGAAGACCACUCAAUGAUGCAUGCUGGGAGCAAUACCAUUUGGUGACGUUUUCAAUUUUGAUUGGGGGCUUGUGAUGGAUCAUUCUUUGCUUGUUAUGAUGUGAGAUUGUAUUUUGCCAAAUGCAAAUAAAGUCCCUCAAAUAAGACGAGUGUGUCAAUGUAACGUUACAAAUUAGAUAUUGUUUUAGUGUGAAAAACAUUUGCCUGAAUUGUUAUUCAAAGCCAAUUUUUCUGUUGCUUAUGCAAAUGUUUAUUAAAAAGAAAAAAAACAUUGAUGUGUAUUAUUUUUAUAGAAUUUUCAACCUCAUUUAUUACCUCCACCACUGAAGGUGAGAAGGAGGUUAUGUUUUCACCCCUUUCUUUCUGUCUGUCUCUGUGUACAGGAUAUCUCAAGUUUGGACGGAUCCGGAUGAAAUUUUGUCGACAGGUUCGGUGUGUGACAAGGACGAACUGAUUAGAUUUUGGUGAAGAUCCGGAUCCGACAACUAGAAGUUUUUUAGUGAUUCUUCAUCAUUGAGAGAUCAGGCCAAAAACAGUAGCACGAUAUCUCAAAAAGUUGUCGACGGAUUCGGAUGAAAUUUUGUGUACAUUCGGUGUGUGACAAGGAUGAACUGAUUAGAUUUUGGUGAAGAUCCGGAUCCGGAUCUGACUACUAGAAGAUUUUCAGUGAUUCUUCACCAUUGAGAGAUGAGGCCAAAACAAAUGUAGCAUGAUAUCUCAAAAAGUUCUGAAGCAAUCAGAACUUAGUGAACACAUCUGGAUAUUUACUAAGACCAACAUUCCAGUUGAGCUAAAAUAAUAUCUCCAAUCAAGCUUGCUGGUGCCUUAUAUUAAUCAUUUCAUUAAAAUCCCAUAGUAAGCAUGAUAUAUUUAAAUGAUAGGCAAUUUUUUUUUCUGAAUAAUAACUAAAGCUUACUUGAAAGGUCAGCUUGUUUUGAACACCUUUACUCAGCAGGUUGAUUAUCCUUAAAUACAGAGGAAAGAUAUUUCUAUACAGUAUUAAAUUUAAAUUCAAACAGAUACAUGUUCAAGCACAUUGAAUUGUAAUAAUCAUACCAUUUUCAAGUACAUUAUCCAUUAAAUAUUUAAAACAAUACAUUUAUUUUUAUGAAAAUUCAUUGACAGCAUUUUAUUAUUGUUUUUUAUCACCCUCAAACCCAUAAUUCUAAUUUUGAAGAAAUUGCAUCGACAAUACCUUUCAAGUAAAUCUUCAAAGAACAUUGAAACAUUGGGUAAAUUCUGUGAUGUCCAUCUUGGUGGGAGGUUAUUAAUACAUAUAUUUAGGUCAUUGUGAAAUUCCUGACAAACAAACUGGAUAUCUGUCAGGACGUCAUUCAGAGCUUUCCAUUCCUUGUGAAGAUCAUUUGCAUAACAAUCCACCUCGCUUAUGAGAGUUUGAAAUGCUGUAAUAAAAAGGAAAAAACAAAUAAUUAGUUAUAUAAUUAAUCGUACACAAUAAAAAUGAAGACCAAUUACUGCACCAUAGUUCCAAGAAGAAAGCCAGACUUAACAACACACACACACACACACACACACACACACACACACACACACACACACACACACACACACACACACACCCCCCCCCCCCCCCCCCCCCCCCCCCCCCCCCCCCCCCCCCCCCCCCCCCCCCCCCCCCCCCCCCCCCCCCCCC
This 3665-nucleotide long non-coding RNA is filed under the name Eptatretus burgeri (inshore hagfish). RNAcentral describes it as "lncRNA (ENSEBUG00000017302.1)". The record is from RNAcentral. Lineage: Eukaryota; Metazoa; Chordata; Myxini; Myxiniformes; Myxinidae.